CUUUUUUCCAGUUGUUAAGACGUUCAGUCUCUUCAUGAAGAAAUAGCCAUUUAGAGGCUUCUUACUGAGAAGCCUCUGAAUUGGUACCCAGGUGCAAGUGCGCACAUGUCUUGUCUGAGUCCUGUGGAGCUGGUCUGAGGUCUUUGAGGGAGAGUGAGGCAGGCACGAUCAAGUAGAAGGAAGGAUGCUGCACACAUCUCUGGCUGCUUGAUUGACAGUCGGGGGGGUGUUCACUCGAU
Non-coding RNA from Pelobates cultripes (western spadefoot toad), 239 nucleotides. The record is from the annotation of a GenBank genome assembly. NCBI's taxonomy places the organism in Eukaryota, Metazoa, Chordata, Amphibia, Anura, Pelobatidae.